AGAGUUUGAUCCUGGCUCAGGAUGAACGCUGGCGGCGUGCCUAACACAUGCAAGUCGAGCGAUUACUUCGGUAAAGAGCGGCGGACGGGUGAGUAACGCGUGGGUAACCUGCCUCAUACACAUGGAUAACAUACCGAAAGGUAUGCUAAUACAGGAUAAUAUAAGAGAUUCACAUGGAUUUCUUAUCAAAGCUCCGGCGGUAUGAGAUGGACCCGCGUCUGAUUAGCUAGUUGGUAAGGUAAUGGCUUACCAAGGCGACGAUCAGUAGCCGACCUGAGAGGGUGAUCGGCCACAUUGGAACUGAGACACGGUCCAAACUCCUACGGGAGGCAGCAGUGGGGAAUAUUGCACAAUGGGCGAAAGCCUGAUGCAGCAACGCCGCGUGAGUGAUGAAGGCCUUCGGGUCGUAAAACUCUGUCCUCAAGGAAGAUAAUGACGGUACUUGAGGAGGAAGCCCCGGCUAACUACGUGCCAGCCGCUGC
Molecule: ribosomal RNA, 482 nt
Filed under: uncultured bacterium
Lineage: Bacteria
Description: bacterial SSU rRNA
Rfam family: Bacterial small subunit ribosomal RNA
Source: RNAcentral